This 220-nucleotide ribosomal RNA is filed under the name Candidatus Delongbacteria bacterium. RNAcentral describes it as "partial 16S ribosomal RNA". It matches the Rfam family "Bacterial small subunit ribosomal RNA", at positions 1 to 246 of the family's 1533-position model. The record is from RNAcentral. Lineage: Bacteria; Candidatus Delongiibacteriota.
UUUAAAGAGAGUUUGAUCCUGGCUCAGGAUGAACGCUGGCGAGAUGCCUUACACAUGCAAGUCGUACGAGAAUUUUUAAUUCAAGUGGCGGACGGGUGAGUAACACGUAAGAAUUUGCCUUUAGGAGGGGGACAACAACUGGAAACGGUUGCUAAUACCCCAUAUGCUUUCGAGUGAAAUGGAUUUUUCCGCCUAAAGAGAAGCUUGCGGCUGAUUAGCU